RNAcentral lists this ribosomal RNA (506 nucleotides) under uncultured bacterium. RNAcentral's name for it is "partial 16S ribosomal RNA". It matches the Rfam family "Bacterial small subunit ribosomal RNA", at positions 30 to 523 of the family's 1533-position model. The record is from RNAcentral.
AUUGAACGCUGGCGGCAGGCCUAACACAUGCAAGUCGAACGUCAGCACAGAAGAGCUUGCUCUUUGGGUGGCGAGUGGCGGACGGGUGAGUAAUGUCUGGGAAACUGCCCGAUGGAGGGGGAUAACUACUGGAAACGGUAGCUAAUACCGCAUACCGUCGCAAGACCAAAGGGGGGGACCUUCGGGCCUCACACCCUCGGAUGUGCCCAGAUGGAAUUAGCUAGUAGGUGGGGUAAUGGCUCACCUAGGCGACGAUCCCUAGCUGGUCUGAGAGGAUGACCAGCCACACUGGAACUGAGACACGGUCCAGACUCCUACGGGAGGCAGCAGUGGGGAAUAUUGCACAAUGGGCGCAAGCCUGAUGCAGCCAUGCCGCGUGUAUGAAGAAGGCCUUCGGGUUGUAAAGUACUUUCAGCGGGGAGGAAGGCGGUGAGGUUAAUAACCUUGCCGAUUGACGUUACCCGCAGAAGAAGCACCGGCUAACUCCGUGCCAGCCGCCGCCGUAA